RNAcentral lists this transfer RNA (87 nucleotides) under Verrucomicrobia bacterium ADurb.Bin345. Its description in RNAcentral is "tRNA-Tyr". It matches the Rfam family "tRNA". Rfam says of the family: Transfer RNA (tRNA) molecules are approximately 80 nucleotides in length. Their secondary structure includes four short double-helical elements and three loops (D, anti-codon, and T loops). Lineage: Bacteria; Pseudomonadati; Verrucomicrobiota. The record is from RNAcentral.
GGUGGGGUACCGAAGUGGCCAAACGGAGCAGACUGUAAAUCUGCCGGCUUAACGCCUUCGAAGGUUCGAAUCCUUCCCCCACCACCA